Molecule: long non-coding RNA, 281 nt
Filed under: Brassica rapa (field mustard)
Lineage: Eukaryota; Viridiplantae; Streptophyta; Magnoliopsida; Brassicales; Brassicaceae
Description: long non-coding RNA (BRAP_LNC004689)
Source: RNAcentral
UUGUGUCAGUUACUGUUUGCUGCUAUGUAUAUUGGAUUGGGUGAAGCGCUACCGUCAGUAUGCAACAGUCGAAUGGUAGAAAUUCAAAACAAAAUCGGUCCUGGUCAGACUCUGAUAUUUCACUGUUCAUAUCCUAUUAUCCGACGCGGAGUUUUAAAAUUUAAUGAGAAACAACAAUAUGAAACCCGUGAGGGAAAAGCAAGAUCUUGGAUAUGUGUGAUGUAUAAACAAGGACCUCAAGGACCUCAAACUGAUCGUUAUAGUGUUAUGUUUAGACGAGA